GGUUAAGGCAUAGCUGCGUCUGAAAUCAGGCGACGUGUUUACCGCGCGUAAACGAUAUCGCGUCGCUUUCGUUUCUUCUUCUUCUUCUUCUUCU
RNAcentral lists this unclassified non-coding RNA (94 nucleotides) under Enterovibrio nigricans DSM 22720. RNAcentral describes it as "microRNA mir-268". The record is from RNAcentral. Lineage: Bacteria; Pseudomonadati; Pseudomonadota; Gammaproteobacteria; Vibrionales; Vibrionaceae.